UGCUGCAAGAGUCUCCAGACCUAAUCCUAGCUCUCUUGAUUUUGCCCCCGAGCUAUUAGGUCUGGCCAAGGGGGUAUACAGAGAAGAGGGCAUGCAACUCGCCCCAUUCUCAGAAUCAUCCGACUUCGUGUUGAGCUAUUUUUAGAACUGCCCACGCGUAACCUUUGACCGCACAAGGUAAAUCAAAGUAUUUUUUAUAUCUGUGCAUGUGCCAGCUAGCUAGCUAGAUUGCAGCAUAGUAAAACUAGUUCUCAGCAGCAGUAUGGCUUGUACUAGCAGUGUCAAAGGCAAAGGCAAACCAUCCAACAGUUGCAACUCCAAGAAGAUGAAACCUAGGUACAAUAAUCUGUCUUCCUGAGUCUCUGGUACUUCUUAACAAUGCGCCCAGCACUCAACUUCAUGCUCGAAGGGGUUGUCUUGGACCUGGCUGGACUAGGACUGGUCAUGACACUUCUCUAAAAUAAUACUGCACUGUUAGCUAGCUUAGCUAGGCAGCUCUGAUGUACACGCCCAUAAUUAUAACUCCGUAAACAACACCGCCCACUUGUUCACGUCCGUAUACUGGAUUCUAUUUUUAGCAUAUCCGGUCUCUGGUACGAAGUCGGAUGAGUACGUAGGAUACAUAGUGGACCUAUAUAGCUCUCUCUCUGAGGGUCUGGCUGCGGGGGGCCGUGCGCCCCCUGCUCUCUGGGGGGGCUCUCCCUGGGAUGUGAGAGUGUAGGGUCCUAUGGGCCAAAUCACUAUAAAAUGAACGAGCUUAGUGACGUACCUCCUGGGUAGCUUGGAAAGCGUCACACACUAUAUUCCACAGGUGUGAUGGUUCUCUUCCGUAUUAAAAUCAGGGUGAAAAUUGAAAGUAGCGUUAGGCAUCUGCAAAUCAUUUCAUGGUGCUAGCCUGUUCACCCUUAAAUCUCUAUGUGUAUGUGCAUGUACAUGUAUACUGUGGCUAUUGUCUUGUUCUGUUAUUAUGUCACUUGUAUAUACUUUUAACAUGUUUUUCUUGUUCCUUUUGUGUUUUUCUUUAGGACUACCUUUACAUCAGCAUUCAGUUGCUACUAGUCUUGUUUUUGUCCUUAUGCUUGCAUUACUAACUAUAAUUAUACUGACACAAAUUAUAGAAUUAA
Long non-coding RNA from Halichondria panicea, 1124 nucleotides. RefSeq lists it as uncharacterized. The transcript is spliced from 3 exons. NCBI's taxonomy places the organism in Eukaryota, Metazoa, Porifera, Demospongiae, Suberitida, Halichondriidae. The record is from RefSeq and is a predicted model, not a curated record.